CCUGGCGGCCUUAGCGCGGUGGUCCCACCUGACCCCAUGCCGAACUCAGAAGUGAAACGCCGUAGCGCCGAUGGUAGUGUGGGGUCUCCCCAUGCGAGAGUAGGAAACUGCCAGGC
This 116-nucleotide ribosomal RNA is filed under the name Escherichia coli. Lineage: Bacteria; Pseudomonadati; Pseudomonadota; Gammaproteobacteria; Enterobacterales; Enterobacteriaceae. The record is from RNAcentral. RNAcentral also lists the same sequence under 2 other names.